Transfer RNA from Cavia porcellus (domestic guinea pig), 74 nucleotides. It matches the Rfam family "tRNA". Rfam says of the family: Transfer RNA (tRNA) molecules are approximately 80 nucleotides in length. Their secondary structure includes four short double-helical elements and three loops (D, anti-codon, and T loops). Lineage: Eukaryota; Metazoa; Chordata; Mammalia; Rodentia; Caviidae. The record is from Rfam.
GGGGGUUUAAGCUCAGUGGCACAAGCACCUGCCUGGCAAGCAUGAGGUCAUGAGUUUGAUCCCCAUACCCUCCC